RNAcentral lists this ribosomal RNA (728 nucleotides) under uncultured bacterium. Its description in RNAcentral is "bacterial SSU rRNA". It matches the Rfam family "Bacterial small subunit ribosomal RNA", at positions 627 to 1355 of the family's 1533-position model. The record is from RNAcentral.
GGGGUACGGGCAGACUAGAGUGCGGUAGGGGUGACUGGAAUUCCUGGUGUAGCGGUGGAAUGCGCAGAUAUCAGGAGGAACACCGAUGGCGAAGGCAGGUCACUGGGCCGCAACUGACGCUGAGGAGCGAAAGCAUGGGGAGCGAACAGGAUUAGAUACCCUGGUAGUCCAUGCCGUAAACGUUGGGCACUAGGUGUGGGGCUCAUUCCACGAGUUCCGUGCCGCAGCAAACGCAUUAAGUGCCCCGCCUGGGGAGUACGGCCGCAAGGCUAAAACUCAAAGAAAUUGACGGGGGCCCGCACAAGCGGCGGAGCAUGCGGAUUAAUUCGAUGCAACGCGAAGAACCUUACCAAGGCUUGACAUACACCGGAAAAGUGCAGAGAUGUGCUCCCCGUAAGGUCGGUGUACAGGUGGUGCAUGGUUGUCGUCAGCUCGUGUCGUGAGAUGUUGGGUUAAGUCCCGCAACGAGCGCAACCCUCGUCCUAUGUUGCCAGCGGGUCAUGCCGGGGACUCAUAGGAGACUGCCGGGGUCAACUCGGAGGAAGGUGGGGAUGACGUCAAAUCAUCAUGCCCCUUAUGUCUUGGGCUUCACGCAUGCUACAAUGGCCGGUACAAAGGGCUGCGAUACCGCGAGGUGGAGCGAAUCCCAAAAAGCCGGUCUCAGUUCGGAUUGGGGUCUGCAACUCGACCCCAUGAAGUCGGAGUCGCUAGUAAUCGCAGAUCAGCAA